GGAUUGUUAGCUCAGCUGGGAGAGCACCGCCCUUACAAGGCGGGGGUCACUGGUUCGAGCCCAGUACAAUCCACCA
This 76-nucleotide transfer RNA is filed under the name Arsukibacterium sp. MJ3. RNAcentral describes it as "tRNA-Val". It matches the Rfam family "tRNA". Rfam says of the family: Transfer RNA (tRNA) molecules are approximately 80 nucleotides in length. Their secondary structure includes four short double-helical elements and three loops (D, anti-codon, and T loops). The record is from RNAcentral. Lineage: Bacteria; Pseudomonadati; Pseudomonadota; Gammaproteobacteria; Chromatiales; Chromatiaceae.